AUCACAUGACUGGCGGAAGUGGGUCACCACGAGGGAGUGUGAUUAAUAAAGAAGUCGACCGCCUGGGCUGC
RNAcentral lists this non-coding RNA (71 nucleotides) under uncultured Sedimentibacter sp. Its description in RNAcentral is "ZMP/ZTP riboswitch". It matches the Rfam family "ZMP/ZTP riboswitch aptamer (pfl RNA motif)", at positions 6 to 82 of the family's 86-position model. Rfam says of the family: Previously known as pfl RNA. ZMP is also known as AICAR. Lineage: Bacteria; Bacillati; Bacillota; Tissierellia. The record is from RNAcentral.